Molecule: long non-coding RNA, 913 nt
Filed under: Bos mutus (wild yak)
Lineage: Eukaryota; Metazoa; Chordata; Mammalia; Artiodactyla; Bovidae
Description: lncRNA (ENSBMUG00000010338.1)
Source: RNAcentral
CAAUCUCAGUCCCACUGUUGGUUGGAGCAUUUCGCCCGGAGCCUCCGAGCGAACUGGUUGCCGGCUGCGGCUGGGAGCUUGGUUGCGCAAUUCCUUGCCGCCACUGCGGCCGCGGCCAAAGCCACCUGGGCAAGGAGAGAAUUUGCCGCGAGGUUCCCGCCUCGGAAAGAGGCAUCCCUCACUGCUGGCCAAGUGCCAGAGAAGCGGUGCACGCACCUCUCAGCUAAUACCUGACCAUGGGCAACUCCUGCUUCGGCCUCAAGGAACGGCUGAUGAAGCGGCUGCGGCCUCUGCCGACCGUGAUCGUCAUCCGCACCUGCCUGCCCCAGAGAAGGAGCAGAGAUUUCCGCGUGGUGGUGCUCGGCUCGGCCGGCGUGGGCAAGAGCGCUCUGGUGCAAAGGAAGCAAACCCUGGAGGAGCUGAAGCCGCUCUAUGAGCUGAUCCGUCAACUCAAAGGUAACAACCCGCAAAAGUGCCCCGUCAUCCUGGUGGGCAACAAGUGCGAUGAGAGCCGUCGGGAGGUGAGUGAGAAGGAAGGUGCUGCCUAUGCGUGCGAGUGGAAUUGCGCCUUCUUGGAGACCUCGGCCAAGAUGAAUAUCAACGUCCAGGAGCUGUUCCAGUUGCUGAUAAAUUUCGAGAAGAAGCCCGCCGCCGCCGCAGCCCCCGCCGGCGCCCAGCCUCCGCAGAAGAAAUCCCAGAUCCCCAAGACCGCCGAGAAGCUGCUGGGCAAGUGCAUCGUCAUGUGAAUCCUGAGCCUUAAAGAUCGCGACCCUCUUCUCCUUUAGUGUGCCGAAAACGUGGACCGACCCCAUUAUGCUGUGUCACCUGUACAUGACUGACUUUUGUGCUGUGGUUUGGGUUGUAACAAUUAGAUGUCAAUAAAUGUCCCUUGUGAGUUAAUAACUUUCCUUUU